UACUUCAGUCCGUUCGACUUGUCUCGUGCUUUGUGUGGACCACAGAUCACAACUGCAGCAUCGGCAAGAUGAACUCACUCUGUCUUCUGACACUUUCAGUCCUUCUGGCCUCCUGUGCCGGUCAGAGUAUGGAGUCCAUUCCUUCUAGUGUGGUCGUGAAGCAAGCGGGUCAGACGCUCAGUCUUUCUUGCAGAGGUUCCGGGUUCACGUUUACCUGCUGCACUAUGCACUGGAUCCGGAAAGCUCCUGGAAAAGGCCUUGAAUGGCUAGGACGGGGAUAUUCAUCGGCCAGUAGCAACGACUAUGCCAGCAGCUUGAGAGGACGUGUUGCCAUUAGCAGAGAUGAUGCUAACAGCAUGGUUCAUCUGACACUGUCCAACCUCCAGCCCGAAGACUCUGCUGUCUAUUACUGUGCAAAAUCCCACACAUGUUGAAACACACAGCAGGGCUCUACAAAA
This is a non-coding RNA of Phycodurus eques (leafy seadragon), 458 nucleotides long. Lineage: Eukaryota; Metazoa; Chordata; Actinopteri; Syngnathiformes; Syngnathidae. The record is from the annotation of a RefSeq genome assembly.